GACACUAUGGCCGAGUGGUUAAGGCGAAAGACUCGAAUCUUUUAAGAGGUAUCUUUUGGGAUCUUCCCGCGCAGGUUCAAAUCCUGCUGGUGUCG
Molecule: transfer RNA, 95 nt
Organism: Pachysolen tannophilus NRRL Y-2460
Lineage: Eukaryota; Fungi; Ascomycota; Pichiomycetes; Alaninales; Pachysolenaceae
Rfam family: tRNA
About the family: Transfer RNA (tRNA) molecules are approximately 80 nucleotides in length.
Source: Rfam